UACGUAGGGGGCAAGCGUUAUCCGGAUUUAUUGGGUUUAAAGGGUGCGUAGGCGGAUCGUUAAGUCAGUGGUCAAAUUGAGGGGCUCAACCCCUUCCCGCCAUUGAAACUGGCGCUCUUGAGUGGAAGAGAAGUAUGCGGAACGCGUGGUGUAGCGGUGAAAUGCAUAGAUAUCACGCAGAACCCCGAUUGCGAAGGCAGCAUGCCGGCUUCCGACUGACGCUGAAGCACGAAAGCGUGGGGAUCGAACAGG
This 252-nucleotide ribosomal RNA is filed under the name uncultured bacterium. RNAcentral describes it as "partial 16S ribosomal RNA". It matches the Rfam family "Bacterial small subunit ribosomal RNA", at positions 524 to 776 of the family's 1533-position model. The record is from RNAcentral.